CAGCCGUAAACUAUGCGCGUUAGGUGUACUGGUGACCACGAGUCACCGGGGUGCCGAAGGGAAACCGUGAAACGUGCCGCCUGGGAAGUACGGUCGCAAGGCUGAAACUUAAAGGAAUUGGCCGGGGGAGCACCACAACGGGUGGAGCCUGCGGUUUAAUUGGAUUCAACGCCGGACAUCUCACCGGAUAAGACAGCUGAAUGAUUGUCAAUCUGAAGGUUUUACAUGACUAGCUGAGAGGAGGUGCAUGGCGUCAGUGACU
This 262-nucleotide ribosomal RNA is filed under the name uncultured archaeon. RNAcentral's name for it is "partial 16S ribosomal RNA". It matches the Rfam family "Archaeal small subunit ribosomal RNA", at positions 748 to 1008 of the family's 1478-position model. The record is from RNAcentral.